RNAcentral lists this unclassified non-coding RNA (257 nucleotides) under Glomeromycetes sp. RNAcentral describes it as "partial contains 5.8S ribosomal RNA and internal transcribed spacer 2". The stretch from base 1 to 71 matches the Rfam family "5.8S ribosomal RNA", at positions 84 to 154 of the family's 154-position model. The record is from RNAcentral. Lineage: Eukaryota; Fungi; Glomeromycota; Glomeromycetes.
GUGAAUCAUCAAAUCUUUGAACGCAAAUUGCGCUUCCUGCUAUCCCGGGAAGUAUGCCUGUUUGAGGGUCAGUAUUAACAAACACUCGGUUUGGUUGCAAAUUGUGUCGUCUCCGGAGGUUGGGCUUAUCUUAACUUCUGUGGUAAAGGGGCUUAACAUCGACCUUUUUUGCGCAUUUUUAGACGUACAUAAAUCUUUUAUUUAUUAGUCUAUUCUUCAUGCCAAAAUCUUAUUAGAUGCGAUCACAUAGAGUAGCC